CAUCGUGCACCUAUCGCAUGCGAACAUCACAGCGUCUUCACCGCUGCCAAUUAUUGCUGCCCAAUAAGCCGCGAGCAUUACGUGCGUUCCAGAUGUCCUCGGCACAACAGUGUGAGGAGGCCGCGGCGGAGGGGACCGUGGUGAAGACAACGGCUAACAAGGAUUACUACUUCGACUCCUACAGUCACUAUGGCAUUCACAUGGAGAUGCUGAAAGACUACCACCGCACGACGGCCUAUCGCGAUGCGAUCUGGCGUAAUGCGUACAUGUUCAAGAACAAGGUCGUCCUUGACGUUGGCUGCGGUACUGGUAUUCUCUCCAUGUUUGCUGCCCGCGCGGGUGCGCGCAAGGUCAUCGGCAUUGACUGCAGCAAUGUGGCGGUCCAGGCACGCCGAAUUGUGCAGGACAACGGCUUCAGCGACGUCAUCACCAUUAUCCAAGGCAAGGUCGAGGAGCUGGACCUGGAUGAGAAGGUGGACAUUAUCAUUAGCGAGUGGAUGGGCUACUUCCUCCUGUACGAGUCCAUGCUGAACACAGUUCUCUACGCGCGUGACCGCUGGGGUACGCCAGAUGUGAAGAUUCUGCCGAACAGCGCCAACAUGUACGCAUGCGGCAUCACCGACCCACAGUACAUCGAGCAGAAGUUCGACAUCUGGAAGAACGUGAAUGGACUCGACUUUUCCUACUUCAAGCGCCUCAGCUACAUUGAGCCCCUCAUCGACACCGUCGACCCGGAGCAGAUCAUCACCGACAUUGUCCCUUUCUUCUCCUUCGACAUCAACAAGGUGACGGAGGCAGAGUUGUCCUUCACGAGAACCUUCGCACUGGAGGCGAAGCAGGGCGACUUUGUGCACGCCAUCUCGGUCCACUUCGACACCCCAUUCCACGCAGGCCAUGAUCCAGUGGUGCUGAACACGUCGCCAAUGGUGCCGCCCACACACUGGCGGCAGACCGUGCUCUACAUUUUCCAUCCGCUAAUCAUGAAGCGGGGCGAGAAGGCGAACUUCACGAUAAAGUGUGUGCCGAACCCGGGAAAUCCGCGGGACCUAGACAUUUCUCUGCGCAUCGACUUCGAUGGUGAGCUGCAGGCGUGCCACUACGACCAAGACUUCCGCCUCCGGUGAAGACGCCAGUGAUGGAAAGGCGCUAAAAAAGCCUGACGAGGUCAAAGGAGAAUCAGGCAGAGGGAGGUGGGGCGCAGCGCGUGUACUCGAAGUGCGGCCUUGCCUGGAUACGACUGCAUGCAGUCAUAUACAUGAGUAUGUGAGCUGUGUCUGCUCUCGGAUCAGCAAGAUGGAGAACGGUUGUGGGCGGAAAGAGCACGCGAGCCAUUGGCGAGAAUCCUACGUGCACAGGAAACUGUGUCGCCCACCGAUGUAGGCCUCUGAGAUUACUUUUCUGCACGGACGUUCACCAGUGGAAGGGCUCGCUUAUGGAGCGCCGAGAGAUCAUGGAUGGCGCCCCCGCUACCGUAACACUCACGAUUAUCACUCCUGAAAAAGAGAAAGGAAACAUGUGAGUUUCCCGACAGCGACCUUGUUAAGCCCUCCGUGACCGUGGGGGCAGUAGCCCCCACGAUCUCUCCUUCCUCCACCUCUUCCCCGCGGGGCUGUGUGUGUCUUGCGGUUUUGCAUAAGUCUGUGCUUAAGGCAUACAGGACACUUUAACGCUUGUCAUCUUGCCAGCCCACGUUCGGCGCUGCGCACGUAACGUUGUGUGACUGCCGUUCGCUGCGGCCAGCAAAAAUGGCGAGGUAAGAGAGAAAACCACAACUAAUCUGCCAGGCAGCUUCCGUCGAGCUUUGGGAAGGGAGAGUGAGGAAGAGGGGUGGCGGCUGGACGCGCGUGGCCGUUGCUCUCCUGCCCGUCGGAAAGACAGCGGACGGACGGUAGCGCGACGCGAGUUUCACCACGAAUCCGUGUGAGGUGAACCUCCGUGACGCUGCCCAUGUGUCCGUGAUAGGGUAUAAAGAUGCGAGUUUGACUUGUGAGUUGGGUUUGCUCGUUCUGCCUCUCCAUAUCCCUUCGCAAGCAUGGCUGGGUUUCCUUGUACACCUACUCUCCCUGCACCUGCCAAGCAAGUCAUGAUGGCGGAUUGUAUCUGAUGGGCCAUGCUGAUGUAUGAGCGAUCCGAUGGUAAGCUAACUCUAAAGUGCAGAC
This 2159-nucleotide unclassified non-coding RNA is filed under the name Leishmania donovani. RNAcentral describes it as "gene:LdHU3.12.1650(CDS-product:arginine_N-methylt ransferase-like_protein)". Lineage: Eukaryota; Euglenozoa; Kinetoplastea; Trypanosomatida; Trypanosomatidae. The record is from RNAcentral.